AUUGAGCGCUGGCGGAAUGCUUUACACAUGCAAGUCGAACGGCAGCACGGGGGCAGCCCUGGUGGCGAGUGGCGAACGGGUGAGUAAUACAUCGGAACGUGCUCGGUCGUGGGGGAUAACGUAGCGAAAGUUACGCUAAUACCGCAUACGAUCUGAGGAUGAAAUCGGGGGACCUUCGGGCCUCGCGCGAUCGGAGCAGCCGAUGUCAGAUUAGGUAGUUGGUGGGGUAAAGGCCUACCAAGCCGACGAUCUGUAGCUGGUCUGAGAGGACGACCAGCCACACUGGGACUGAGACACGGCCCAGACUCCUACGGGAGGCAGCAGUGGGGAAUUUUGGACAAUGGGCGCAAGCCUGAUCCAGCCAUUCCGCGUGCAGGACGAAGGCCUUCGGGUUGUAAACUGAUUUUGUACGGAACGAAAAGGCUCUGGCUAAUACCUGGGGCUCAUGACGGUACCGUAAGAAUAAGCACCGGCUAACUACGUG
Molecule: ribosomal RNA, 484 nt
Filed under: uncultured bacterium
Lineage: Bacteria
Description: partial 16S ribosomal RNA
Rfam family: Bacterial small subunit ribosomal RNA
Source: RNAcentral